Octopus sinensis (East Asian common octopus) is the source of this 1936-nucleotide long non-coding RNA. RefSeq lists it as uncharacterized. NCBI's taxonomy places the organism in Eukaryota, Metazoa, Mollusca, Cephalopoda, Octopoda, Octopodidae. The record is from RefSeq and is a predicted model, not a curated record. The transcript is spliced from 2 exons.
UCGUGACCUCUGCAUGUCAAGUUGUUAUUGUUGUUCUGUAGUCCUAAGUCACCUCUGGCACACAUGUCAAUUGAACUUCUAAGUGCGUAAAAUAAAUUCUUAUGUUCCAUGUAAUGUAGAGGUAAGAUCUCUCCUACACCUCUGAAGCGAGACCGCAAUCUGGUUUCGAUUCUUGGUUAUAAUUAUUUUAUUCCAUUUACGUCAUAAAUAUCUGCGAAGGACAGCAAACAAUCUAUCUCCUUGUCUGUAAACCUGGGGUUUAUGUAAAAAGUUAGUUAUAUUAAAUAUUUUAAAACAAUACUUUUCGAGGUGUCUUUGAGAUAUAUUUUGAUAUUGUUUUUCCAAUAUGAAACCAAUGUUUUUUUAAAAAUCUUUAUUAAAAAUAUGAGGUAAGGGAAAUUAAGUGGACCAAUGGCAUGAAUAUGUUAAGUGGGGAUAUACUGCAUGCCAUACGUAAAAAAAUACUCGAUAAAUUAAAAUUUGCUUGUUUUAGUUCAAGAAAGAAAACGAAAACCAAACGGUAACGGGUUUUUUCCCCCGUCUCUUAUUAUCUAAUCCUUUGGUUAUUAGCAUCCAGUGUAUACAGACCCUUCUCAUUACUGAGUCCUACAUUUAUUCGUUGAAAGUUCUUUAUUUCAUUGAAUUACGCAUCAAUUUCUAGUACAGUCUGCGUUACUGAUGACUCGUUUCAUAUCGGCUAUCUCGCCAGAGAAUAAACAAAGAAUGGGAAUGUGAGGAUAUCGCCCAAAGUAUACUAUGCAAUACGAACUUUCGAGUCUAAUUUUCAUCCAUGGUAGCUAAUUUUAUUUCCAAGUAUUGAAUACAAUCCAGUGCUUUCUUUACUUCUGUCGCCAUUAUCAAGAAUACCAUUCCAUGUUGUCACUAGACCCUUUAAAAAUAGCAGUAAAGCCUCCCUUAAACAACGCCCAACCUUUAAAAAGAAGUAAGGACAUAUUAAGUAACGUAGUCUUAUUCCUAAAAAAAAAAAAAAAAAUACACGAUUUUAUCUGGAAUGCUUUUUAUCAUGGAUCUGCUAUGAUCCUUGAUUAGCCCCAGACUUGACUGGAGUUAAAUAAUACUUUACUUUUGAAUGUACAUAAUCAGCCUUCUCAUCAUUCAUUAAAAAAAAAUUAUUAAUUUUGUUAAAGCUUAGUUGGAAGCAAUGCAGUACAUAUAGGCCUUCCUCAAGGCCCCUAAAACUACUGGGAAGAAAAGUUAUCCUCAGGCCAGCAACUUGGUGGAAAUACAACUGACUGGACUCUGCUACAGGCAUCUAAAGGCUUGAUGGUUGCGUUAAAUUUGGUGAUGGAUAAGAUCUACCAUUUAGACAGAUGUACUGACAGCUUCAACAUGAUAGAUUUCAAUCUGACAUAUUGUGCUCAUAUUCUAGCUACCAACCACAGAGAAUAAGAUAUUAGCUUGUAGCUGAGUCCUUUGAAUUUGAGAUUGGGAAAGAACCAGGGGUCUCUGGCAAUGAUGUAUUAACUGUGUCAAGAGAAAGAUACACUCUCAGUUGUCAGGAUGGCUGAUCUCAUCCAACAAGUCCAAGACAUCAUCAAGGACAAUUCCAGCAGGUUAAUGAAAGCCAUUACCAAGGUGGCAAUGCCCAAUAUCAGAUUUUUGGUACAUAAAGACAUCAGGUAUUUGUCCUACAUGAUAAGGAAACAACAGUCUCACAUUCAUUAAGAAUCAGGAGAACUGCCUGAUCAUGUGACUCCAACAUCACAUGGUCAGCUAACUCAUUGGAUUUGAAUCCCUGAUUGCUACUGCUGCAUCAGAAGUGUUGUUGGGGGUUAGACGAUGACUACUGCUGUGGGUGUGGUGGAUGAGAACCACCUAAUCUUGUUUUGCAUCAGAACUGAAGAUGGCUUCAUUGAACAGCUCCUUUGACAAAUCUAAAUGAAUGUCCCUAUUUUGUGGGAGUAUGUUACUUUUA